CAAUAGCGUAUAUCAAAGUUGUUGCAGUUAAAAAGCUCGUAGUUGGAUUUCUGGUGGGAGCGAUCGGUCUGGCGCUUAGCGCGAGUACUUGCAUCGUCUCCGGCCAUCCUUGGGGAGAGUCUGUCUGGCAUUAAGUUGUCGGGCAGAGGAUCCUCAUCGUUUACUGUGAAAAAAUUAGAGUGUUCAAAGCAGGCUUAUGCCGUUGAAUAUAUUAGCAUGGAAUAAUAAGAUAGGACUUUGGUACUAUUUUGUUGGUUUGCGCACCAAAGUAAUGAUUAAUAGGGACAGUUGGGGGUAUUCGUAUUCCGUUGUCAGAGGUGAAAUUCUUGGAUUUACGGAAGACGAACUACUGCGAAAGCAUUUACCAAGGAUGUUUUCAUUAA
Molecule: ribosomal RNA, 383 nt
Filed under: uncultured eukaryote
Lineage: Eukaryota
Description: partial 18S ribosomal RNA
Rfam family: Eukaryotic small subunit ribosomal RNA
Source: RNAcentral